GGGUAACUUUUACGUCUGGGAUGGGGGUAAAACUCCAUCCCAUGCUGUUCAACCCUUUGUCUUUUGCGUACUGUAUGUUUCCUCGGCGGGUUCGCCCGCCGAUAGGACACUUCAAAACCUUUUGUAAUUGCAAUCAGCGUCAGAAAAACUAUAAUAGUUACAACUUUCAACAACGGAUCUCUUGGUUCUGGCAUCGAUGAAGAACGCAGCGAAAUGCGAAAAGUAGUGUGAAUUGCAGAAUUCAGUGAAUCAUCGAAUCUUUGAACGCACAUUGCGCCCCUUGGUAUUCCAUGGGGCAUGCCUGUUCGAGCGUCAUUUGUACCCUCAAGCUCUGCUUGGUGUUGGGUGUUUGUCCCGCCUUCGCGCGUGGACUCGCCUUAAAGUGAUUGGCAGCCGGAAUAAUUCUGGGGAACGCAGCACAACUGCAGCCUCCAUUUUACGCCGAGCGUCCAGUAAGCCUUUUUUCAACGUUUGACCUCGGAUCAGGUAGGGAUACCCGCUGAACUUAAGCAUAUCAAA
RNAcentral lists this ribosomal RNA (519 nucleotides) under Ascomycota sp. ZS203. Its description in RNAcentral is "eukaryotic LSU rRNA". The stretch from base 162 to 315 matches the Rfam family "5.8S ribosomal RNA". The record is from RNAcentral. Lineage: Eukaryota; Fungi; Ascomycota.